Molecule: ribosomal RNA, 425 nt
Filed under: Staphylococcus aureus
Lineage: Bacteria; Bacillati; Bacillota; Bacilli; Caryophanales; Staphylococcaceae
Description: bacterial SSU rRNA
Rfam family: Bacterial small subunit ribosomal RNA
Source: RNAcentral
AUGGGCGAAAGCCUGACGGAGCAACGCCGCGUGAGUGAUGAAGGUCUUCGGAUCGUAAAACUCUGUUAUUAGGGAAGAACAUAUGUGUAAGUAACUGUGCACAUCUUGACGGUACCUAAUCAGAAAGCCACGGCUAACUACGUGCCAGCAGCCGCGGUAAUACGUAGGUGGCAAGCGUUAUCCGGAAUUAUUGGGCGUAAAGCGCGCGUAGGCGGUUUUUUAAGUCUGAUGUGAAAGCCCACGGCUCAACCGUGGAGGGUCAUUGGAAACUGGAAAACUUGAGUGCAGAAGAGGAAAGUGGAAUUCCAUGUGUAGCGGUGAAAUGCGCAGAGAUAUGGAGGAACACCAGUGGCGAAGGCGACUUUCUGGUCUGUAACUGACGCUGAUGUGCGAAAGCGUGGGGAUCAAACAGGAUUAGAUACCCC